This 76-nucleotide transfer RNA is filed under the name Deltaproteobacteria bacterium. RNAcentral's name for it is "tRNA-Asn". It matches the Rfam family "tRNA". From Rfam's summary of the family: Transfer RNA (tRNA) molecules are approximately 80 nucleotides in length. Their secondary structure includes four short double-helical elements and three loops (D, anti-codon, and T loops). The record is from RNAcentral. Lineage: Bacteria; Pseudomonadati; Myxococcota; Myxococcia.
UCCGGCUUAGCUCAGUCGGUAGAGCGCGGCACUGUUAAUGCCUAGGUCGCUGGUUCGAGUCCAGCAGCCGGAGCCA